GGCGGUUCUCGGGUGACACACCUCGGAAUCAGGCUCCCUCCUCUUCGAUUCCGGGUGUGUCACCCAAGAACCACA
Non-coding RNA from Myotis brandtii (Brandt's bat), 75 nucleotides. The record is from Rfam. NCBI's taxonomy places the organism in Eukaryota, Metazoa, Chordata, Mammalia, Chiroptera, Vespertilionidae.